GAUGAAGAACGUAGCGAAAUGCGAUACGUAAUGUGAAUUGCAGAAUUCAGUGAAUCAUCGAGUCUUUGAACGCACAUUGCGCCCCCUGGUAUUCCGGGGGGCAUGCCUGUCCGAGCGUCAUUGCUGCCCUCAAGCACGGCUUGUGUGUUGGGCCUCCGUCCUCCUCCCGGGGGACGGGCCCGAAAGGCAGCGGCGGCACCGCGUCCGGUCCUCGAGCGUAUGGGGCUUCGUCACCCGCUCUUGUAGGCCCGGCCGGCGCUUGCCGACACAUCAAUCUUUUUUCCUGGUUGACCUCGGAUCAGGUAGGGAUACCCGCUGAACUUAAGCAUAUCAAUAAGCGGAGA
Molecule: unclassified non-coding RNA, 344 nt
Filed under: soil metagenome
Description: partial contains 5.8S ribosomal RNA, internal transcribed spacer 2, and large subunit ribosomal RNA
Rfam family: 5.8S ribosomal RNA (bases 1-120)
Source: RNAcentral